RNAcentral lists this ribosomal RNA (446 nucleotides) under uncultured microorganism. RNAcentral's name for it is "bacterial SSU rRNA". It matches the Rfam family "Bacterial small subunit ribosomal RNA", at positions 346 to 795 of the family's 1533-position model. The record is from RNAcentral.
GGGCUGCAGUCGAGAAUCUUCCACAAUGGGCGAAAGCCUGAUGGAGCGACGUCGCGUGACUGAUGAAGCUUUUCGGAGUGUAAAGGUCUUUUCUAGGGGAACAAUUUUACUUCGGUAAAAUGAGCGUACCCUAGGAAUAAGGGGUGGCUAACUUCGUGCCAGAAGCCUCGGUAAUGCGAAGGCCCCAAGCGUUAUCCGGAAUUAUUGGGUGUAAAGCGUGUGUAGGCUGUUUUAAUAGUGGCUGGUCAAAUCCCGGAGCUCAACUCCGGAACUGCUGGUCAAACGUUAAGACUGGAGCAGGCGAGAGGUUAAUGGAACUUACCAAGUAGGGGUGAAAUCCGUUGAUAUGGUAGGGAACACCAAAGGCGAAGGCAAUUAACUGGCGCCUAGCUGACGCUGAGACACGAAAGCGUAGGUAGCGAACGGGAUUAGAUACCCCAGUAGUC